This 745-nucleotide ribosomal RNA is filed under the name uncultured bacterium. RNAcentral describes it as "bacterial SSU rRNA". It matches the Rfam family "Bacterial small subunit ribosomal RNA", at positions 28 to 776 of the family's 1533-position model. The record is from RNAcentral.
AGUGAACGUUGGCGGCGUGGAUUAGGCAUGCAAGUCGCACGAGAAACUAAUUAGCUUGCUAAGAGGUGGACAGUGGCGCAAGGGAGAGUAACGCGUGGUUACUUGCCCUCGAGACCGGGAUAGUGUCGGGAAACUGGCAGUAAUACCGGAUAACAUCUUCGGAUCAAAUGGUGUGAUUCCGCUCGAGGAUAGGACCGCGUACUAUUAGCUUGUUGGUGAGGUAAUGGCUCACCAAGGCUUCGAUGGUUACCGGGUGUGAGAGCAUGGCCCGGCUCACUGGGACUGAGACACUGCCCAGACACCUACGGGUGGCUGCAGUCGAGAAUCUUCGGCAAUGGACGAAAGUCUGACCGAGCGACGCCGCGUGCGGGAUGAAGGCCCUCGGGUUGUAAACCGCUGUCAGUAGUUAGGAAGUCCAUGAGGGUUAUCUCUCAUGGUUGACCGAUCUUCAGAGGAAGGACGGGCUAAGUUCGUGCCAGCAGCCGCGGUAAGACGAACCGUCCAAACGUUAUUCGGUAUCACUGGGCUUAAAGCGUGCGUAGGCGGCUUGGUAGGUGAGAUGUGAAAGCCCACGGCUCAACCGUGGAAUUGCGUUUCAAACCCCCAAGCUCGAGGAAGAUAGGGGUGAUGGGAACUUAUGGUGGAGCGGUGAAAUGCGUUGAUAUCAUAGGGAACACCGGUGGCGAAAGCGCAUCACUGGAUCUUUUUCUGACGCUGAGGCACGAAAGCUAGGGUAGCGAACGGG